UUACGGCCCUAUCACGUUAAAAGACCGGUUCUUGUACGAUCCUCGAAGUUAAGCAACGUUGAGCCUGGUUAGUUUCUUAAAUGGGUGACCACUUGGGAAUACUAAAAUGCUGUA
This is a non-coding RNA of Acanthosepion pharaonis, 114 nucleotides long. NCBI's taxonomy places the organism in Eukaryota, Metazoa, Mollusca, Cephalopoda, Sepiida, Sepiidae. The record is from the annotation of a GenBank genome assembly.